This 507-nucleotide ribosomal RNA is filed under the name Salmonella enterica subsp. enterica serovar Kentucky. RNAcentral's name for it is "bacterial SSU rRNA". It matches the Rfam family "Bacterial small subunit ribosomal RNA", at positions 1 to 499 of the family's 1533-position model. Lineage: Bacteria; Pseudomonadati; Pseudomonadota; Gammaproteobacteria; Enterobacterales; Enterobacteriaceae. The record is from RNAcentral.
AAAUUGAAGAGUUUGAUCAUGGCUCAGAUUGAACGCUGGCGGCAGGCCUAACACAUGCAAGUCGAACGGUAGCACAGAGAGCUUGCUCUCGGGUGACGAGUGGCGGACGGGUGAGUAAUGUCUGGGAAACUGCCCGAUGGAGGGGGAUAACUACUGGAAACGGUAGCUAAUACCGCAUAACGUCGCAAGACCAAAGUGGGGGACCUUCGGGCCUCACACCAUCGGAUGUGCCCAGAUGGGAUUAGCUAGUAGGUGGGGUAACGGCUCACCUAGGCGACGAUCCCUAGCUGGUCUGAGAGGAUGACCAGCCACACUGGAACUGAGACACGGUCCAGACUCCUACGGGAGGCAGCAGUGGGGAAUAUUGCACAAUGGGCGCAAGCCUGAUGCAGCCAUGCCGCGUGUAUGAAGAAGGCCUUCGGGUUGUAAAGUACUUUCAGCGAGGAGGAAGGCGUUGUGGUUAAUAACCACAGCGAUUGACGUUACUCGCAGAAGAAGCACCGGCUA